UUCACGCCGCGUGAGGGAUGAAGGCCUCUGGGCUGUAAACCUCUUUUAUCAAGGAAGAAGAUCUGACGGUACUUGAUGAAUAAGCCACGGCUAAUUCCGUGCCAGCAGCCGCGGUAAUACGGGAGUGGCAAGCGUUAUCCGGAAUUAUUGGGCGUAAAGCGUCCGCAGGCGGUUUUGUAAGUCUGUCGUUAAAGCGUGGAGCUUAACUCCAUUUAGGCGGUGGAAACUACAAGACUAGAGUGUGGUAGGGGCAGAGGGAAUUCCCGGUGUAGCGGUGAAAUGCGUAGAUAUCGGGAAGAACACCAGUGGCGAAGGCGCUCUGCUGGGCCAUAACUGACGCUCAUGGACGAAAGCCAGGGGAGCGAAAGGGAUUAGAUACCCCUGUAGUCCUGGCCGUAAACGAUGAACACUAGGUGUCGGGGGAAUCGAACCCCUCGGUGUCGUAGCCAACGCGUUAAGUGUUCCGCCUGCGGAGUACGCACGCCAGUGUGAAACUCUAAGGGAUUGACGGAGGCCCGCACAAGCGGUGGAGUAUGUGGGUUAAUUCGAUGCAACGCGAAGAACCUUACAGAGGUUGUACUCCUUGGGAAUUUCUUGGGAACGGAGAUUGGCUCGGGAGCGCAUGACCCGGGUGCAUGGUGUCUCGCCGUGUCGGAAUUUGGUUAGUCCGAAA
This 673-nucleotide ribosomal RNA is filed under the name uncultured bacterium. RNAcentral's name for it is "bacterial SSU rRNA". It matches the Rfam family "Bacterial small subunit ribosomal RNA", at positions 391 to 1091 of the family's 1533-position model. The record is from RNAcentral.